This is a non-coding RNA of Acanthosepion pharaonis, 113 nucleotides long. NCBI's taxonomy places the organism in Eukaryota, Metazoa, Mollusca, Cephalopoda, Sepiida, Sepiidae. The record is from the annotation of a GenBank genome assembly.
UACAAUCAUAUCAUGUUGAAACACUGGUCCUUGUACGGUCACUGAAGUUAAGCAGUAACGAGCUUGGUCAGUACCUAGAUGAGUGACCUCUUAAGAAUACCAGGUGCUGUAAU